RNAcentral lists this long non-coding RNA (826 nucleotides) under Marmota monax (woodchuck). Lineage: Eukaryota; Metazoa; Chordata; Mammalia; Rodentia; Sciuridae. The record is from RNAcentral.
AGGCAGGAAAGAAAGCAGAAGAAAGAAGGAAAAAGAAAUAAAGGUAGAGGGAGAAUAAAGAAUAAAGGAGAGGGAGGAAGAGGGAUAAUUAGAGAAGAAAGUGGACGCAGACUCCUGGCUCCCUGGCCUAACACCAACAACCCCCCCAUCCCAGGUGAUGUGGCCCGGGUCUGGGACCCGAGGACCAGCUUCUCUGCAGCAGCUGAGGAAGCUGGAGAAGGACUUCUUCCCACACUCCUCCUUCCCCCUCCCUGCCUUGCUGGUGUGCAGCAGGCUAUUCAGCAUUGAGGCUCCAAGACACUUGGGUCAAGAUCUGGAUCCAAAACCAGUAUAUGAAGUAGAAGAAGCUGAUAAGGGAGGGCCUGGGCACAUAUUCCUGUGCUGGUGCUGAUGCCCUCUUUCUCUGGCUCUGACCCUUCACCCCCAGCUCCUGGGAACUCUACUGUGGCCCUGCUGGCCCUGGCUGUCUGAAGACCGGGCUGAUUUGCUGGGCCGUAGUUGAUCAUCUGCCAUAUGAGCCCUUUGCACUGAAUGAUUGUUCUGUAAUUUUGGUUAGCCUUCUUGAGUGUGUUCAAGCAAGAGCAGGAAGAAGAUAAGACCUGGUCCACUUUGGGUCUGAGGAGAUCUUCAUUUUCUCCCAUUGAUGACAACAAAAAUCUAUCCUUAGCAAAAUCGUUGCUAUCCUUAUCUCCACCCCUACCCCAGAAAAACCACCCAAUCAAGGGAUUUCUCCAUGCCAGGAAGGGUUGAGUUCAACCCUUAGUGUAAGUUUGCAAACCCUGGAAGAGCCAGAGAAAGAGAAUGAGGAAGGUCCCUACCAGGACAU